This 161-nucleotide unclassified non-coding RNA is filed under the name uncultured fungus. Its description in RNAcentral is "sequence contains ITS1, 5.8S rRNA gene". Lineage: Eukaryota; Fungi. The record is from RNAcentral.
CAAUGAGUGUUUUAUGGCACUCUUUAAAAAUCCAUAUCCACCUUGUGUGCAAUGCUUGUUGGUAGAGAGGCAACUCUUUCCCUUCACAAAUAUCAACCUAUUUCUUUAACAACAUUCGUCUGAUAACAUAUUAUGACUAUACUUAUUAAUAAUUCAAAAUA